Molecule: ribosomal RNA, 210 nt
Filed under: uncultured bacterium
Lineage: Bacteria
Description: partial 16S ribosomal RNA
Rfam family: Bacterial small subunit ribosomal RNA
Source: RNAcentral
CGCGCAGGCGGUUUCUUAAGUCAGAUGUGAAAGCCCGGGGCUCAACCCCGGAAGUGCAUUUGAAACUAAGGAACUUGAGUAUGGGAGAGGGAAGUGGAAUUCCUGGUGUAGCGGUGAAAUGCGUAGAUAUCAGGAGGAACAACCGGUGGCGAAGGCGACUUCCUGGACCAAUACUGACGCUGAGGCGCGAAGGCGGUGGGGAGCGAAACA